UAAAUUUCCUUACAUUACUAAACAAAAAUACGAAACAGUAACCUUAAAAUCAGAAUCUAGGCUUCAGAGAUUUCCUCCGUAUCACCGCUCACUCUGCUACGGUAUCUUCUGUAUCUGAAGGGUGAUAGGAUGAAUGAGAUAAAAUAUCCCAAUAAGCAAUAUUAUUAAAACACAACAUAGUACAUGCGAUAUAUAAUUCUUUUACACACAACAGAAUAUAUAUCAUAUAAUAUUUCCAAAAUAGAUACGAAUCAGAAAAUGAAAGCACAAAUAAUAAAACAGAUGCAUGUUGUAUCCUUCAUCACUAUUAUAGAGGAUCAAUCAGUUACCAUACAUUAUGCAUUGGUACAUAUAUUUAUCACUGAUUUCCCAUGUACCCGAAUACGGAAUGACAUACAUGAGUACCUUGAAACACUGCUACCCCCCGAAUACAGAACGGUUAGAGCACGCAGAUCAGACUAUUUCUCCAUACACCCAAACACAUAACAGUUAUGUAUGGGUACACACUUAUAACUUUGCCAAUACAUCCAAACACAGAACAGUUAUGUAUGACCAAAUUGAAGCAUAACAUAAUGUAAGU
RNAcentral lists this long non-coding RNA (580 nucleotides) under Carica papaya (papaya). Its description in RNAcentral is "long non-coding RNA (CPAP_LNC014376)". Lineage: Eukaryota; Viridiplantae; Streptophyta; Magnoliopsida; Brassicales; Caricaceae. The record is from RNAcentral.